Molecule: non-coding RNA, 147 nt
Filed under: Labrenzia sp.
Lineage: Bacteria; Pseudomonadati; Pseudomonadota; Alphaproteobacteria; Hyphomicrobiales; Stappiaceae
Description: FMN sequence
Rfam family: FMN riboswitch aptamer (RFN element)
About the family: The RFN element is a highly conserved domain that is found frequently in the 5'-untranslated regions of prokaryotic mRNAs that encode for flavin mononucleotide (FMN) biosynthesis and transport proteins. This element is a metabolite-dependent riboswitch that directly binds FMN in the absence of proteins.
Source: RNAcentral
CUCCGUUCUCAGGGCGGGGUGAAACUCCCCACCGGCGGUAAGCGGCUUGAGCUGCAAGCCCGCGAGCGCGCUCCUUUUUGAGCGGUCAUGCAGAUCAGGUGAGAUUCCUGGGCCGACGGUCAUAGUCCGGAUGAAAGAGAAACUGCG